This 503-nucleotide ribosomal RNA is filed under the name uncultured bacterium. RNAcentral's name for it is "bacterial SSU rRNA". It matches the Rfam family "Bacterial small subunit ribosomal RNA", at positions 17 to 518 of the family's 1533-position model. The record is from RNAcentral.
UUAUGGCUCAGGAUGAACGCUGGCGGCGUGCCUAACACAUGCAAGUCGAACGAAGCACUUUCUCGGAGAUUCGUCGAAGAGAAAUUGACUUAGUGGCGGACGGGUGAGUAAUGUAUGAGCAACCUGCCUUUCGGAGGGGGACAACAGUUGGAAACGACUGCUAAUACCGCAUAAUGUAUCGAGGGGGCAUCCCUUUGAUACCAAAGGAGCAAUCCGCCGAAAGAUGGGCUCAUAUCUGAUUAGUCAGUUGGUGGGGUAACGGCCUACCAAGACUGCGAUCAGUAGCCGGACUGAGAGGUUGAACGGCCACAUUGGGACUGAGAUACGGCCCAGACUCCUACGGGAGGCAGCAGUGGGGAAUAUUGGGCAAUGGGCGAAAGCCCUGACCCAGCAACGCCGCGUGAAGGAAGAAGGUCUUCGGAUUGUAAACUUCUUUUAUGAGGGACGAAGGACGUGACGGUACCUCAUGAAUAAGCCACGGCUAACUACGUGCCAGCCGCGGC